Molecule: long non-coding RNA, 148 nt
Organism: Cervus elaphus (red deer)
Lineage: Eukaryota; Metazoa; Chordata; Mammalia; Artiodactyla; Cervidae
Exons: 2
Source: RefSeq, a predicted model, not a curated record
GAGAUGUGGGUUCAAUCCCUAGGUCAGGAAGAUCCUCUGGAGGAAGGCAUGGCAAAACCCACUCCAGUAUUCUUGCCUGGAGAAUCCCAUGGACAGAGGAAGCUGGUAGGCUAUAGUCCAUGGGAUCGCAAAGAGUCAGACACGACUG